This 449-nucleotide ribosomal RNA is filed under the name uncultured bacterium. RNAcentral's name for it is "partial 16S ribosomal RNA". It matches the Rfam family "Bacterial small subunit ribosomal RNA", at positions 29 to 523 of the family's 1533-position model. The record is from RNAcentral.
AACGAACGCUGGCGGCAUGCCUAACACAUGCAAGUCGAACGAGACCUUCGGGUCUAGUGGCGCACGGGUGCGUAACGCGUGGAAACCUGCCCUUAGGGUCGGAAUAACUCCCCGAAAGGGGUGCUAAUACCGGAUAAUGUCUUCGGACCAAAGAUUUAUCGCCUUUGGAUGGGCCCGCGUAGGAUUAGCUAGUUGGUAGGGUAAAGGCCUACCAAGGCGACGAUCCUUAGCUGGUCUUAGAGGAUGAUCAGCCACACUGGGACUGAGACACGGCCCAGACUCCUACGGGAGGCAGCAGUGGGGAAUAUUGGACAAUGGGCGAAAGCCUGAUCCAGCAAUGCCGCGUGAGUGAUGAAGGCCUUAGGGUUGUAAAGCUCUUUUACCCGGGAUGAUAAUGACAGUACCGGGAGAAUAAGCCCCGGCUAACUCCGUGCCAGCAGCCGCCGUAA